This is a long non-coding RNA of Myotis myotis, 7591 nucleotides long. RefSeq lists it as uncharacterized. The record is from RefSeq and is a predicted model, not a curated record. NCBI's taxonomy places the organism in Eukaryota, Metazoa, Chordata, Mammalia, Chiroptera, Vespertilionidae. The transcript is spliced from 3 exons.
AAAAAACAAAUACACAUUUCUGCCCUGGCCAGCGUGGCUCAGUUGGUUGCGUUAUCCCAUGCACCGAAAUGUUCCCGUUAAGAUUCCCACUCAGGGCACAUGCCUGGGUUGCAGGCUUGAUCCUGGGGAGGAUCAAUGUUUUGCUUUCAAAUUGAUGUUUCUCUCUUCCUUUCCCUUCUUCUCUCUUUAAAAAUCAAUUUUAAAAUCUUAAAAAAAAAAGAAAGAAACAAAUACACAUUUCCUUGCCCCACCUGGACCAACUGAAUUAGAAUAUUUGGGUCUGGAAGCCAGGAAUCUAUUUUAACAUGCUCACAAGUGCUCCCAACAAGUCCAUCUGCAGACCGGUGUUUGGGGACCAUGGACUGAUUCCAUGCAGUCUGAAGCCAUUGACUCUGAGGGUCCUCAGAUUAGGCUCUCAACUAACUAUAACAAUGUGCUGAUCCAAACGAGCAAAUGGCCUGACUGUGUGCCCAUGGAGUAUGUUUUCUGUAACAAAUUCCAUGACAUAGCCCAUCCCCAAGGGAUGCUCAGUGAGUCUCAAACUCCGCUGCAUAUUAAAGUCACCUGGAGACUUUAAAAACAUUCAUGCCCAACCCAGAUAUUCUGGCUUAAUUGACUGAGGAUGGGGCCUGGGCAUUUUGGGGGGCCUGGGCAUUUUUUAAGCUUCCCCAAAUUGUUCUAUUAUGCAGCCAGGGUUAAGAACCCCUGAUGAAGUCAAAUAUUAGUCUCUGUAAGGCUUUGCUUUGAAUUUGGAAUGAAGAGUGAGAUUUUAGUCUGAAGUCAUUCCUGCCUCCCUCACAGCCCCAUCAGGAGAGGUUUCCUGGAGAAGACGACAAGUCCUUUAAAUCCAUAGGUAUGGGAGUGUCUGCCCAGCCUGUACCCUCUUCUCUAAAAACUGCCACCCCUAACAUCCCUUCUUCCUUGUUGAAGUCAAAGCACCCUCCUUUCCCUGCCACAGCUGAUUGGACACAGGCUGGAUCCCUGCCCCAUGACCUGGUUUGAACGAGUUUUCUCUCUUCUGUGACAAGGAGCCAAUCACUGGUUGAUCCCCCCCUGUAGACUGAGAACUAGGGUAGUAUUUUAGGGCUGUGUGAGCUAAUAAGGAAGCAAAUGGAGCCAGGCUACUAGGAAAGCGUGCACACAGAGGAGGGGAUGUGAGGGAGAGCCAGACAUGGACUGAGAAGCCUCCAGGGUCACAGAUACCUUCUCAGGCCUAGGACCAGCUCCUAGUGACACCAACCUUCACUUCCUGCGCUGGGGUUCCUCUUAAUCCCUUUUAAUUGAGCUGGCUGUCCGGGACCUAUUCGGGACACUCAUGAUACCAUGAAAAUGUCUUAGACCUGAACCCAAAUUGCUGGCUUAAGGAUAAGAUAUAAUCGAGUGCUUCUGAGUGUCAAGUUUAAAAAAAAAAAAAAAAGCAAUGGAACCUGCAAACUGAUUGUUAAUUUAUUGCCAGUCACUCGACCCUUAUUGUGCCCUGAGUUUCUCUCUGUGGGGGAAACAGAGAUGACUCAGAAUUGGAUCCUGCCUUCAGGAACCUCACCACCUAGCAGGGGAGCUAAGAGACAGAGUACAAAGAAGGCAGUAUUGAUAAGAGCCCUGGGAGAGGAACAAUAUACCAUAGGCAUUCAGAUUGGAUGGUGGAGAAGCCUUAUGGCAAAGGAGGCAUUUGCACUUGCCUGGAGGCAGGUUAGGGUAUCUGAAGAAGGAGGAAAAGGCAUUCUAGGGGGAGGAAACUGUCUGGGCCCAGGUAGAAAAGCAUGGAAACAAGAAGUCCAGUUUGGCUAUAGCAGGUGGGAGAGGCUGAGGCUGUAAAGACAGCAGUAUCAGAACGCAGGAAGCCCAGUGGACAAGGCCAAGAUGCCUUGGAAGGUUCCCAGGCCUUUCCCCAGCACCCGCCCCGGGCAUGUUAAGCUGACUGGUCUCGCCGUCCCUAAGUUGCUGGGAGACCCCUAACAGUUUUUUCUUAUGUUUUUACAGCAGGUGACAGUUGGCAACACAUUCUUGUAUAUGUUCUCUGACUCACACUCAGGUGUAAUGGUGAAUUAACUGGCCCCAUGAAGUAUCUCAUCUUCCAAUGCUUACCCCAGAGGAAUGAACCUCAGACCUUCAGGAAGGAAGACUUUUUGGUCAACAAGUCCUUCCCUGGGUCUCUCACACUCCUCUACCUGGGAAGAGGCUUGUGCCUACCUGACCGCCAGGAUCCUCCUCCUGAUCUCCCUUGACGUCUGGAGCAGGGGCUGGUGUGACCUUGACCGCAGGGAGCUUGGUUGGCUCCUCCUCUUUAAAGGAUAAACAUGGGAUAGGUCAGAAGAGGACCAGGUGUUGAGGGCAGCUAAGAGACCGAUAGAUAUGUACAGAUGAGAGGACAGCUGGGAAAUGGCAAUCCUUGCUCCUUCUGUAUUUGCAGACAUUCCAUCCUGGCCAGCAUAGGCAACUGGAACAGAAAGAGGGUAAAGCCACAGCCCUAAGGGUCUGACCUUUCCCCCUACCAGCUGCAUGGAGAGGAUCCUAAUGAUUUCAAAGACAGCAGCUAGGAAGCCUUGGCAAGUCCGGAGAGCUGGGUUUAGGUACAGGCUCUUUCGCUUCUUGGCCAUGUGGCUUUGGGAAAGUCACUUGACCUCUUGAGCCUCCGUUGUCUAUAGAAUGGUGUCUAUAGAAUGGUGUCUAUAGAAUGGGAACAACCACUGCUGCUCUAGCUCCCUCCAAGGGUUACUGAGUACAACAGGAGUCCCGGUGUGCGGUAUAGAGCCCACAGGGCAGUAGCUGUCUCACACUCCCUGUCCCAGCAGCCACACAGAUGCUGGAUUUCUGUGCCACCAGACCCCUGGUGGCCUUUCCUCACUGGGGUUGCUGGUCUCGGGCCAAUCCCUAGCAGAACUAUCCUUUUUUAGAAGUGGCAGGAAGAAGAACUAGAGUCCAAUAUAGUCUAAUAUGGGACAAGAUUCAGCAAAAACAGAAGUGGGAGUCAACAACCUCCAGCCUGGCCUUUCCUGGCCUUGCCUACCCCACAUAAGGAGAGUAUGGAGGGAACAGUACAGGACUGCCUGGGGAAGAGGGACCCUGGACUACAGCAAAGUGCAGGCAGCACCAGAUCACCACUCCAGCUGACUGGCUCAGAGAGGCCAAGAGCCCUGCCUCAGCCCUGGCAGAUAGGAGGAAGGAAGGUACAGGAGAAAACCUGCUGGUCUCACCAUCCUCUCACCUUCUGGUUUGCUCUCUGCUUUGGCCUCCUGAUUCAAGCUCUCCUCAUCCCUGUUCUUGGAGGAGUGUGCUGCAAAUGAAAAAGGAAGCAUAUCUGGGACCAAAGUAUCCCCGCCACACCCUUCAGUUGGGCUGGUGGACUAGCAACCAGAGCAGCUCAAGUGCAUGCGAAGAGGCUGGCCUGGGAGUUAUGAUGUCUGGAUUCUAGUCCUACUAGGCCUGUCAUGGUGCCCAGUUCUCAACUUCUGUCUUACAUUCCCUGCACUGUCACUAACUGGCUAUGACCUUGAGCAAGUCACUUCCCCUGUUUUCUUUCUGGUAAAAUAACAUGGUUAGUGUUGGGGGCAACAGGUAGGGUUUAAUUCCUUUGUGAGCCCAAGUGAGGGCUGCCUGAGCGCUGAACUGAGGAGAAUCCUCACCCAGGUCUGGUGGAGAGUGCCAGGAUUGAUCAGAGGUGUCUGCAAUGGGCAGGGAAUGGAGAAAUAAUCACAUCCUUGGACUAGAUUAUGUGUAAGGGCCUUUACAGCUUACUUUCUAUAAAUCUACUAUAAGCUUUGCUAUAACUGCGGGGGCACUGCUGGUGGCCAUAUUCCUGAGCCUUCCCUCUCAGUGGCAAGGGGGAAGUAGCUGCUCCCCAAGCUCCUUGCCACACCCCUUUGACCCCAGACACCUGGAACCCACACAGGGCCCCCUUCCAGAUCCCCGUGCACGUGCUUUCCUGGAGGCCCGCAGAGCACUGUGCUCAGAAUGGUGCUGCCCUGGUUUCCAGGCAAGAAAAAUGGGGAGGGCAACUCUCUCAGUGUGACUGUGACCCAGGAAACCUGCAAAGUGCUUUCCAUGUAUCAUUUCAGGUGGGAGGCACAGAGACGGAGGUGCAGGGGCCAUGAAGGUCCCCCUCACAGCCGUGUAGUGUGGGAAGGUGAGGAUAAUGAUACACAUGACAGAACGAAGCGGUGCCCUGGAGUCUAUUCUGCAUCCCACACUGGCUCUGCCCUGUGAACUCUGGGUGACCUUGGAAAGCCUGUGUAUCCUCUCUAAGCCUCGGGGUCCCUUCUCUAAAAAGGCAACACCAUGAUACACACAAUGUGGGGAUCUGCGAGACAAAAUAAAUAAAAAUACUGUAAUUGCUGCAAUUAAAUAUUAUCUUAGCUCAGAUUCUGAAACUAGACAACCUCGAUUUGAAUCCCAGUUCUUCCACUUGCUAGCCAUGGACUGAGCUGAGUGAUUCCUUAACCUCUCUGUCCUUCAGAUUCUUCAUCUGUAAAAUCUGACAGACUUGUUGAAGGAAUAAAUUAAUUGAUACAUCGACUUGCUUAAAACAGUGCUUAGCACAGCCGUGGGCAAACUACGGCCCCCGGGCCGGAAAUGAAUAAAACUAAAAAAAAAAAAAGACCGUACCCUUUUAUGUAAUGAUGUUUACUUUGAAUUUAUAUUAGUUCACACAAACACUCCAUCCAUGCUUUUGUUCCGGCCCUCCGGUCCAGUUUAAGAACCCAUUGUGGCCCUUGAGUCAAAAAGUUUGCCCACCCCUGGCCUAGCACCUAGAAAGCACUGCAUCAGGUUUAGCUAUGACGAUAAUGAUGAGCUGACACAGGAGUUGAGAGCAGCUGUCCCACUGAGCCUGCAGCAAUGGGGCACCAUGUUCCAGAGGGUUUGGGUUAGACCCUGACGGGAUGAGCAGGUGCAAUCUGGAAACAUUAACAGGUCUGAAAUUUCCUCCUCUCAGCCUGUCUCCGACAUUCUCACAGUAGGUUCCAGCUGCAGCCCCUCUGGCAACGGGCUCCACUGCUCUGGCAUGUUCGGUCCCUUGAAGUUUCCUGGUGGGCCUGCCCAGGAGGUCCUUGUCAGGACUGAGAUGUCAGGAAGUGGCACUCCACCGCCUCCUUCAUCCAAACAAGUCCAGCGCCCCUUGGCAGGAAUCCAGCCCUGGCAUCCUCUGUUGAGCGACACGUAGCUGUUGUCAAAGGGGGCCCCCUGGUUCCAGUCCUGGCACUGAGAAUAUCUGCCAGCUGAUAGCUGGAGGGACUGGCAAUAAAACCAAGUUCCCCUCUUUCCUUCUCAUCCCUCCUCACACACCCUACCCUCUCGCUUCUCAUGCCCCCAAGAAAAGCAGGCCAACUAUGAAACCUCUCUCUCCGUCCCUCCCCCUCCGCCCCGCUCCCCCCCUCCCCCUCUCACACACACACACAGAAGAGGCAUGGGGAUCACUGGAUCCUCUUCACAGGGUGAGAGUUCAGACCAGUUCUGUGGAAGAGCUGGAACACCUGACAAGGGUGGAAACAUCUGGACAGCCAUUGGAAACAGCACAUGGAAACACAAACAUGUAUCUGGAAAGUCUUGGGAACAAAGGCCUUCAUCACAUUCCUGUGCUGUCACAGCCCCUCCUGGAUGGAAUCUCACGGUGUAGAAUCAGGGUUGGCUUCCCUGGGCAGGACUGUACCACAGAGCAUGCCAGCAAUCAUUCACAGCGAGGGCCACUCGAUGCCACACAGGCACGCCGUGGACCACGCAGGACUGUCUUGCCUGGGUUGAUGGUUGCUGGCUCCCCCAGAGCUGGUUUCCUCACAUGCCUCUCAGCUCAGCACGGAGGAUCAUCUCCUUAGUAUCAGUCUCCUCUGACCUCGGCCUGGCUUGGACAUCACAUAAUCCUGUCAGGACAAGCAGGCCAGCUGGCGGCUGUGAGCGGUGGAAGCGGCCCAGGCAGGGGGCCCUUGGUCCCAUUGAGGAGAAGUCUUCAUCUUUAAGACUUUGCCAGAGUCAGUAACUCCCAGAGGAGGGGCCCAGCAUGGCCCAGAGACACAGCUUCCUUCAUGACACAGCCGCACGGAUAGCACGCCGGCGGCCAGGGGCUGCAGCCUCGCUCUCAGAACCCCAGCGGGACUGCUUCUGGAGCGGGCGCUGCAGGAGGUCGUACUGUGUCCGCCAGGGCUCACCUCGAGGAUUUGCUAAGGAAGGGUUGAUCACCUUGUCUUUGAGUCUGCUUUCACAGUACAACGUAGUUGUUUCAAAUACCCAAAGUCCCAAUAUUGUGUCUGAAGAAGAUACUUAAGGGCCUGAGGGAAUUCUGAGCCUUAAAAAUGUGUCCCUGAACCAGGAAUCUCAGUCAGGGUGCUCCCUGGGGCUCAAGGGUCAGUCUCUAGUGUCAUAUACAGUUCAGUCCUCAGCCCUCUGCCCAACUGCAACCACGACCCCAUGGCUUCUGCCCAAAAGCCAACCUUCCCUUGAUGGGCCUCCUGCCUGGAGGGGUGCCUGUGGGGGCCUGAGAAUCGUGUUAGGGGCAGCUCUUAGGAGAGGGAGGCCAGAAGGCAGGAACUGGUAAGAAGGAUGGUGAGAAUCUCAGCUGCCAAAUCAUCUGUGAAGUUGGACAUCAGCUCCCACUGCACUUUGGACCCUCACCACCCCCAGAAGUGGUCCUGGCAGCUCCCAGGAUGUCCGUUGGGAUUCCUGGCUGAGGGGGAGGGUUGGCAGUCUUCCCAGGACACCAGUUUCUAGCACCUCCAGGAGCUUCCCCCGGAAGCGACCCUGGCCAGUCAGCCUGAGCCAAGCUGCCUGGAGGAGACUGUGGCGGGCUGCACAGAGAAGGUACUGAGGGGCACACAGCAUCAUGGCCUCAUUAUCUGCAGCUGAACCUCCUCAUGUCACAAGAGAGGACAGGGAGGCAGGGAAACAGGAAUGUGGAUGCCUAAAGGGCUUGGUUCCUUGGGGCCCUCUCCUCUCCCAGUGAGUUCCGUGUCUUCGUCUCUGCCCUGUCUCCCAGGCUGACUGCCACCCACUCUCCCCUGCUAACUCUCUCUUCCCACUCCUGCCCUCAACCCACCCACUGCCUCCGUUUUGCAGGUCCCAGUUGUUGUCCAGCUGCAGGAGGGAAGGAGUGGACAGGGAGACCACGCAGGUCUGGGGAGGCCUUGCUUACCUUCCCCCAGAGGGUCCAGGCUGUGGAGCAUGAGCCGGUACAUGGUGCUGCGGAUGGUGCUGUUGUGCAGAGAGGCUGAGCUGCUCCCUCGGGUCAGCACGGACGGGAGCUGAGCAGGAGAGAGCAGCACAGGCCUCAGUGGGCCCUGCCCAAGCCAGGAAGCCCUCAGGUUGGAACACAGAAACUCAGCAGAGACAACCUGGCCUUCCACAGCCUGGCUUCAGCCUGCAUACGCCAUUCCCAGCCAGAUGUGUCCACUCACCACCCGUCUUCUGGUCCCUCAAAUGUACCAUCCUUCUUACCCACUUGAAACCUUCAUUAUGGGGCGCCCAUCUAAUUCUCUUUUACAGACUUCUAUUCUUUUCCUUCAUAGCACUUUCCCCACUUUGUGUUAUAUGUAUGUGUUAUUUGUGUUUUAUGUAUGUUAGCAAACAUGCAAAUAAAUCGAGUGCCCAGUAGCAUCUUGAAGACAGA